CCAGCAGUAACUUAAAGAACAGAAAUGAGGUGACAUGUUAACAAUUCAAAGAUUUAGAAGGCAGUUAAAACAGAAAAAUUCACCACUACAUUGUGAAACGGGCUAAUAAUAUUUCAGAACCAGUAAAGUGAACAAGACAUAGAAUAACGGAAAUAUUUGUCAAAAUAAAAGGAGAGACUAUAUUCCAAUAGCACGAAUGAAACAGAAGAUGGAACCUUCCAAUAUAAGAAUAAAUAAACCUUCCUAUUACAAUCUUCAUGAAAUGUAGCAGUCUAUAAACGUAUAUGAGAAGAGUAAAAAUAGCGUACAGGUGUUCAUAUUUAUAUGAAAGGAAAGAGUAAAAUAUAUAGCGAUCAAAAGCAUCAAUGCAGGUAUAUGAGAGAAAUGUUAAAGACAGGAGCAAAUUGGCAGAAGCUCAGUCUGCUUAUUUCUACUCCAAAGAGAUGGGGAAGUUAAUGAUUAAUGGUUCCAUUUUUUAAGAGCGCUGAUCAUUGUCUAAUUACUACAAGAUCUAAGAUAUGCUUGCUGCAAAGAAAAAAGUACUAGAAAUAGGUAUCAAAUGCUUUUUCAAGGACAAACAGUCAUUUAUUUUUAAGCCCUGACCUGUGUCAAACAAGAACUAUGUGACAUAUUUCAAAAUCAAGAAAAUGAAUUUACAGAAUUCUAUUACAUUGCUAUCCAAUUAGUAUUGCGUCCAACGCAUAUACAUAUGCGCACUCAAACAAUCACACAUAUACAUCUUCCUUUUCCACUUGCACAAAGGACUCUGCAACAUGGUUAGUAGAUUCAAACAUUUUCCUCCCACAUAACUAUCCAGACCUCAUGGAUAUCCAAGUACAACAACCUAAUCAAAAGAAACAGAUCAAAGACAAAGACAUGGAUACGUCCUUAUUUCCUGACAACCUAAACAGUCUUGGAAAAAAUGCUUGCUAAGAGCAUCUCAAAUAAUUUUCUUUCUUUAGAAUCACCCAAAUAAUCCCCAUAUAUUUUCAAAAAAUCUGCUGUGUGACUGUUCAACAGUGAACCCAUCUCCAAACACACUUACUUUUAACUAGGAAUAGUCUUCACUAUUGGAGUUACUGAAAAGGAACAUCUACAGAGCAUUUCUCCAGGCCCCAUUGAUGGGAUCCACAAAACAACGCCUAGAUCUUAUCUAAUACUCCCACUUCUGGAGGGAUCCAUAUAUCCACACAAGUAAUGUGAACAUUCAUAACUCAGAUUAUCCAAAAGGAAGAAAAAAGAGAAAAAUCGAUUAUGUUUUCAAGAUAAAAAAAAAAAUCGAUCCAUUACUGAUCUUUUAUGAUAAAAACAACUUGGUUAACCUUAAAAAAAAUGAGCUGAUUGGAUAAGUCAACUAAACUAAUCCAAAAAAAGAGACCCAAAAAACAAAAAUAUAAAAAAGAGGUAAGCAAUGGUCCUGAUCUAGCAUAAGAAUUUAUACCUUGCCAAAGAAGUUUCCACCUCCAUCAUGAAGCCUAUCAACUUCAUAGAUCGUAGCAUGUAAAGUCCCAUGGAGCAAAGUUUCCUCCAUUUCUCAACUAAAAGAAAGAGAAAAGAAAGUUAAUUCAACUAAGCCAGAGAGAUAUUAACAUAAGAUAAACUCCAAAAGAAGAGUGGGAAACAGAGAAGAUAAGUUCUUUUUAAAAAAAAAUAAAAGCUUGCGAAGCAGAGAAAUGAGCAAAGAAAAAAGGUAGAUUCAAAAAAAUAUACCCAAGGUUAAAUCAGAAGAGAUCUUGAUCUAAGGAUAUCAAGGCAGAAGUGAGAGUGAGUUGUCCUUGAUUUUCUCUUUUAUGUAAGGGAUUUAUAUACGCAAAAUACGCGUAUCUAGUUUUGUAAUAAUGGAUAUAUAAAUUAUGGCUGCAACGUGGUGGCCGUGGGCAGACUAAAAGGAAAAUUACUGACGGGAAAGAGACCCGGAAAAUCAGCCCCUUAAAUAGAUCCGCGUGGAGCUGAGUGGAUCAGGGACUACGAAAGAUUUUUUUUUAUAGGGACUGAAUUACAUAAAAUCCCGAUUUUUUCAAUUCAAUUUUAACUUUCUCUCGCACAUUUUCAAAUUUCUCUCAAAUUUCUUUUAAUUUCCUGUUAAUUUCUCACUCAAAUUUUAUUUCUCUCUCAAUUUUUUUAUUUAUUAAAAUUAUUUUAAGAUUUUCGUAAAUUAUUUUUCUAUUACAAUUUAUUUCAUGUUUUUAGAAAUUAGCAAUGGCAAAAUUUCUAAUUUGUUUAAAUGGCAAGCAUAUUUUGGCCGAUCAAUUGUAAAUGAUAAUUUUUUUAUUAUAUCUAAUCAAAUUUAACUUAAAUACUUUCUUGUUAUAUUGGAAUUUAAAAUUUUGUAUUUUUUAUUUAUAGCCAGAAGAUCAGAUUUUGGAGACGUAUAUUUGUAAUCUAAGAAAAACCAUUUUUGAAGCUCGAUCUAUUCGAUCCCUAAUUUGUAAGCAUUUUUCAAGCCAUUUUAAUUUUUAUGUUUUUGAGGUCAUGAGAGCUUGAUUUAGCUAUCCCAUGCACCAAUUUGCAAAACUGUUGAAGUUUUUGAUAGCUUCUGUUUUUUAUUUCUUGAAUAAUUUGGUGUUAAUUGAUAUAUUUUAAGCUCAGAUUAUAAAAAAGGACUAAAUUAUAAUGUUUGGUUGUUAGUUAUGUACAAAAGGACUAAGGUGAAUAAAUUGUGAAAUUGAUGUGAAAUUCAGUAAUAAUAGAUAGUAAAGAGUCCCUAAUGGAUGUAAUUGAAAUUGAUUUUAAAAUUGAGGCUAAAAAUUGAAAGAUGUAGUUAUUUCGAUUUUAAUAACUAAAUUGAAUAAAAUGUAAAACUUUGGUGGUAUCAAAAAAUGAAGUUUCAUAGGUUCAUUCAUAUCAUGAUAUAAUGUAUAAAUGUUUAAUAUUAAUGAAUUGAAUGGAAUAAUUGUCUAGAUCGAAAAUUGGAUCAAAUCGGUGAUAAUUAAGGAAAAGUAAAAAUUAUAGAUUAGUCCCGAAGUUUCAACUUGUUUGUUGUUUUUUUCCAAGUAAGUUCAUAUGGUAUUUGUUAAUCUAGAUUGUUGUGUAAUUGGUUUGUAAUUAUAUGUGUUUGGUUGUGAAUUGGUUCAAAAGGUGAUAUUUGGACUAAAUUGAAAAGUAAUGUUAAUUUUUGUAAUAGAUGCCCGUUUGAACUCAAUAAAAGUUAGGAUACGAUUGACAUACCAAUAGGGUAUUGUGCUUACAUGUAACACAGGUUUAGCUCGAACGAGUAACCUAAUGUCGUUUUAAAGGUUUAGCCCGAACGGGUAACCUGACAUGUAUAUAUACUCAGCUUGGACAAGCAAUCGAAAGUUUCGUUAUAAAAGUUUAGCCUAGACGGGUAAUCUGACACGAAUAUAUUCAGCUCAGAUGAGCAACUGGUGUGGUAUAGUUACUUGUGCAUCCAAGUUUGUUUACAAUGGUGCAUCGAACAAUACAAUUCAUAUGAAAUAAGAAAUUGAAAUGAGAUAUAAUGUCCUUGAUGUUCACUUAGAGAAAUGUUGAAUUGAACUUGAGUAUUGUAUUGGAGUAAUGUCAUGAACAUGUAUUUGAUUACAUUAUCCCUUGAUUGAAUGAUAUUGAAAUUUUUGUUGUAUAAAAUGACAUGAAUUGGUAUGAUAGUUUUUAUAUGGUUUGAUUACAUGUUAAAGCUCACCUUACUAAUAUUUUGGUUUACCAUGUUUAGCCAAACUAUGCCAAUUUGGGGUGGCUUAUUGUAUUUAAUUGAAAGAUAAGGUAAGUUUUUGUUUAAUGCCUAUGAACUUACUAAGCAUCUUAGAUGCUUACCCUAUUUGUCCUUCCCUUUUCCUUGUAGAUCGUCACUUUGUGUGUAAAACCCAGUUUUGGCGGGUUCAAGGUUUUGGCGCAUAAUGUAACAGGUCAGUUAUAGCCAAAUCGGAACAGUGGUCUUGGAACCACAAAUUCGAGGUCUUAAAUUUAUUUUAAUAUUAUUUUUUGUAUUUAUAGUAUAUGAUUAUAUGUGUGAAAGUUUCGUGUGAUAAUUUUAUCAUUUAAGUGGUUAAUUUGACUAAAGGACUUAAUCACGUAAAAUACAAAACUUACUUUCUAUAUGUUAAAAGUGCUUAAUUACUAUGUCUUAUUAAAUGUGAAGUCCUUAUGUUGUAAUUAGACCAUGAUUAGUGAAAUUUGACAUAAAUGGCCAACCAUUCAAUGUUUUGUUAAUGUUUUAAUUAAGGGUAAAAUAGUAAUUUGGUUAUUAAGGUUAAUUUAAUUAAAACAAAAGCCAAAAUUAGCUCAUUUUAUUUCUUCUUAACCGAAAUUAAAGAAAGAAGAAACCAUUUUUCAUGUUUUUGGGGUUCGGCCAUUGAUAAGCUUAAUUGAGGUAUGUAUUUUGCUCGGUUUUUUAUGAUUUCUAUGUUUUUGUUAUUGUUGCUUUGAGUACUAGCUAGCUUGUACCCUAAUUUAUGAAUUUUUUGAUGAAUUUUUGAGUUUCCAUUGAUGAAUGCUUGAGAUUUUGAAUGAUUAUUGAUGAAUUAUGAAAGCUUGAUGAUAGAUAUUGAAGUUUUGUUAAGUGAUUUUUGACAAAAAUGUCAAAUAGGGAUUAAAUUGAGAAAAGUGUAAAUUGAGGGGUUAAAUUGUGAAAUAAAUAAAAUUUUUGGGCAUUUAGGGACUUACAUAAAAUUUGGAUAAGCAUGGACUUUGUUAAAUUUUAAGUAAUUUGGUGUAUUUGUGAAAUAAGGACUAAAUUGUAAGAAAGUGAAAGUUUAGGGCCAAAGCACAAAUUGGUUAAAUUCUGUGUUUGUGGAUGAAAUUGAUUGAGUUGAUGAUUAAGUGGAUUAAUUUUGAAUACAUAUAGAUCCUGAAAGAAAGAAAUCGGAUUUAGAUCGGGGGAAAUCCAAAGUUAUUGAGUAAUCAAUCCAAUUUGUCUAUUCCGAUUAUGAGGUAAGUUCAUAUGGAAAUAAAUGUCUUUAAAUUGCCAUUGAAUUGUUAUAAAUGUUGAAUGAGCACUUACGAGCAAGAAUUGACAGAGUUUUAACAUCCAAAAGUCCCAUACGAACCUUAAGAAUAGUAUAGGAUACAGAUGUCAUGACAUUAGGUUAUCGAGAUGUGGUUACAUGUAAGACCAUGUUUGGGACAUUGGCAUUGUAUUGUGAUUACGUGUAAGACCAUGUCUGGGACAUUGGCAUCGUAUUAUGAUUUUGUGUAAGACCCUAUCUGGGACAAUGGCAUCGAUAUGUGAUAACAUGUAAGACCAUAUUUGGGAUAUGGCAUUGUACGAGAUUAUGUGAUUUCCGAGUAUCCUUAACGAUUCUGAAUGGUUCAACGGGCAAAGACAAGUCGAGAAAGAAUGUGUUAAUGAGUUAAACGACUCAGGUACGUACGAGAUUUAUACGAGUAUUGGAAAGUGAAGUAAUUGAUGAGUUUACAUGAGAAAAUGAAUAUGUAUUUAAUGAAAAAGGUUUGUGUAUCUAUAUAUGUUUACUUGUACUUGGCCCAGUAAUGGAAAUGUUGUGAUUCAUAUGAUAACUUUAUUUGUAUAUGGCUUACUAAGCUUUUAAAGCUUACUUUGUGUGUUCUUUUCAUGUUUUAUAGAUUAUCAAAGCUAGCUCAGACUCGAGGAUUAUCAGGAAUACGUCAUCGCACUAUCGAUUAUCUCGUUGGUAUUUUUGGAAGCUUUGUAUAUAUGGUAUAUGGCAUGUAUAGGCUAGUGUCAUAUUGGUAUGUUUUGAGUUAUGAUUUUAGCCAUGUGAUUUGACUUGUAAAUGUUGGAACAUAGCCAUUUAAGUUGGUUUGAAAUAUGUGUUUAUUAUGUGAUACAUAUAUUGUAUAUAAUGCCUUAUGUAAUAGUUAUUAGUUUGUUUAUGUAAUUAGUUGUUAUAUGGUAAGUUAAUGCUAGAAUGAUGAUAUGUUGGGGCUUGAAUUCCAGAUGAUAGAAUGGUAUAUUUUGAGGUAUGAAAUAGGUGAUAAGUUGAUGGAUAAAUGCAUUUAGAAGUUAUACAUGUUUGGUGAUUUUGGCAUAGUGAAAUGGUAUUUUUUGGUUGUGGAAUUGAUAAGUUAAAAUAGUUCUGAAUUGAUAGCAUGAUAUGAGUAUGAAUUGGCAUAUUUGUGGUUGCUUAAAGAUGUAUUGAAAUGGUGCUAUUUUGGUUGCUAAGUGUGCUUGUGGUUAGGGUGGCAAAUUGGCUUUGUAAAUAACCUAUUUUUGUCCAUACGGGCAGAGACACGGGCAUGUGUCUUAGCCGUGUGCGACGGUCAUGUUACACGGCCGUGUGUCCCCUAGGGUACCCUUCGAAUUAAAUUCAGUAUACCCUACAGUUUUGACACGGCCUAAACACACGGGUGUGUCUACUGGCCGUGUGUGGCACACGGGCUGACACAUGUGCGUAUGGUCGACCAUGUGACCCAAGUCAAGAACCUUCCUUAGAUUCUACAUGGCCUGGCACACGGGUGUGUCCUCGGCCGUGUGGUGCAAGUCAGUAUGUAUGCCCUGUUGUGACACGGGCGUGUCUGGUAGCCGUGUGAGGCACACGGCCUGUUCACACGGGCGUGUGACCCUUUAAUGUUUAAAUUUUUUUUAAGUUUCCUAAAGUUUAUAAUUGUUAUCAGUUUAGUGCCAAACCACUUCUAAGCAUGCUUUAAGGCCUCGUAGAGCCAUAAAAAGGGACAAUGUGAAUUUGUUGGAUGAGUUUUAUAUAUGAAUGCUUAAAUGUAUACGUUAUGUAUGUGAAUGAUGUGUGAUUCGUUCGGUAACGCCUCGUGACCUUAUUCCGGCUUUGGAUACGGGUUAGGGGUGUUACACAUAACAUCAAAUUAGUCUGUGUGGUGAAGUAAUAUCUGCUCAAGUAUCUCUUUUGGUGAACAGGUUGGGUGUAUUUCAAUUAAAGUGGAAGUUAAUAAUGGUGGUGUGUAAGAUUACUAUGUUAGUUGGAAUAGGAUGUCCACCAAGUAAAAAGGUAAUUAUGGAAUCCGUUCACGCCAAAAGUGUAGUACGCCCUAUUUGUCUGAAGCACUGUACAAGUUAAGAUACAAGGUAAUUGAGUUAGGAACCAACUGGAUAGACUAACCAGAUAAUUAAAAUAUUGGACUUUCAUUAAUUCUUUUCUCAAAUGCUGUAAGCCAUUAGUGAAGACAAUUCUAAAAGAAUAAGACACAUGUCAAAUUCCACAAUGGGGAUAGAGGUCUUAUAUAUAUAUUCGUAUGUGAGCUUGAGAAAAAGAGUUCUUCAUUUUCUUCCACUAGAAAUUAUGUUGUUGAUAUUCUUUGAAGUUGAAUAUAGUUCUCUCUCGUUAAGCUAAAAUUGAUAAUCUGAUUUCAAGUAAAAGAUGAUCCCAUUCCUGGUGGUUGUUGCUAUUUGCAUGUCAAAUGUUAGGUCUGGAGGUAGUUGUUGUGUGUGAGUAUCAGGUAAGUUUUUAUGAGGACUCUUGCAUGUAUACUAUUCAUAUUAAGAUAUAUAUUUGUAGCAAAUAGUUUAAACAUGAAGCUAAAACAUGAAAAGUAUAGCAUGAAAAUGUUAUGUUAUGAAUGCAAUUAUAUAGAAUAUGAUAAGUUCAAGCAUGAAAUGAAUGGUGCAUGAGUACUAUGAUGUCAAAGUAUGGUUGUGUAAGUCUAUAUGAAGUAAAGGUUAUGAGGUAUGUACUAGUUUGGGCGUAUGUUAAGGGAUUAAUGUGUUGAGUUCAUAUUGUGUCAUUGCAUAAAUAGUCUAUAAGGUGGGUCUGUGUCUGGUCACUAUGGUAGUAAAUGAUGGAUCCGUCGAGACAAUAAACAUGAAAUCUAAAAGAAAAAAUCCAUGGCCAUGGCAUCCUCUAAAAAGAAAUUAAAGGAUAGUAAUUUUCCUUAGGGUUUUUUGCGUGUCCCGAGCGAUGAUAGGCAAACCUCACGGAAGUGAGUUUAGUGUAAGUCUAGACUUUUGAUAUUUGUAACAAGUUAAGAUUUUAGAUGAAAAUCUACUGUAAUUGAUUUUAGAUGAAAAUCUAUUUGUUGUUGUUUUAUAUUUCUCCAUUGAAGUAUAGUGGUGCUGUACAGAUUUUAAGUCAUGAUGCUAUACAAAUUUUGAGUCAUGAAGCUAUGUUUAAUUUAUCCAAUGAAAGUAGAGAACAUUAGGGUAAGAUGUAUGGGAUAAGCCCGUCGGCUUAAGACGUAAACUUUGCCCUCUCUUUUAUUAGCUCGUGUUUUCUCAUUUGGCAUAAUGAAAUUAUUUUUCUUAAAAAAAUUGCAAAUACUAUUAAACACUAAAAGAGAACUCAAUAUCCAUAAAUAUUAGAAUACCCUAAAGCAAAACAUAUUCUAAAAAAUAAAUGUUAAAUCUAGUUAUUUUAAUAAUUAAUUAAAAUUUCACUAUAUUUAAAUAAAAACCUAAAUUUUAAGUGAAAAUUAAAUAAAUUUUUUAAAAAUAUUGUUAUUUAGUGAGUAAAUUUGAAAAAAGAAAUCUAAUAAUAAUAAUAAUAAUAAUAAUAAUAAUAGGCUAUAGUAUAUUUUUUAAGCGGUUGGGUAGGUUUUUCUAAGAAGACAUUAUUUUUUCUAAAUUAUAUAAACGUUAUAAGUGGCUUUUUUGGUAAAAGAAAACGCAAAAGGCCAAGGCUAAAUUGCCUUGUUUAUUUUAUUGUACACACAACUUUAGUUUUCUUUUUCUUUUUCUUUUUCUUUUUUAAUGCAAUUGCGCACGUUUAAGAAAACAAAUAAAUCUAACUGCUUUAUUUAAUAAAGCUAUCUUAGAGACCCCACAAUAAAUUUUACAAAAUUUCUUUAUAAAAAAUUUAAUUUAUAUAAAUAAAAAAUUGACCACACAAAAAAUUAAAUACAAAUCAAUAGUUUUAUAUAAAACUAAAUUUAAAAAUUUCCACCCACUAAAAUAUAAAAAUUCCUACCCCUUUUAUUGUCUUUAAAUAUUUGUCACUUUUUAGUUAAACUUCUUUUAUGGUUUCUUUCUAGAAUUUUUACAAAAUAUAUGGUCCAUCUUUUAAUCUUUUAAUAUUUUCGAGUGAAUCUCCUUAGGAUAGUGAUGGAUUAAUUUCUAAAAAAUUAAGAUAGUAAUUUUGCUUGUGAUAGAUUAAAGUUUUUCAUGCAAAAUUAAGUUUUUAUUGAUUGGAUUAUUUUGAGAUAUUGAUUUUGUAUGAUAUUCCUAGUAUUUGUUGGAAAAUUUGUAAUUUAUGAGAACUUUGAAGCAUAUUUUUAAUAGGUAAACGUAGAGAAUUGAAUCAUAAAAUUAUAGUUUCAUAUUCUACUCCAUGUGAUCUUUACAACAAUAUAUCAUAUGCUCAAAAUGGUUGAGUGAUGAAUGAGAAAUUGAUGCUCAAAAUAAGCUAGUUAGAAAUAUUUGUUGAGGAAAAGAAAAGCUUAAAUCCCACAUUAGUUAAAAACUAAGUGUGAGAUGUGUAUAUGUAUGAGAACCGACUUAAAGAGUGAUUGAAUGACUAAGAUUAAAACUUUGUCUCGCGCGCAAGGGGUGUAAUUCCAAACUUAUUAGGGUUGCAUGAUGUGGGUGAUGCGAAAUGUUUGAAACGGUUAGGGCCCAAAAUGAAUUUGCGGAUAUUUUAGCCCAACAUGAAAUUUAUUUUUUCCAACAAAUAUAUACAAAAUCUUAUAUAAAAUGACAUAUAUCUUGUUUUUAUUUGAUUCUAAUAAUUUUGAUUUGAUUGCCCCUUUAAUGCAGAUUUUGUCUUGUUAUACAUGAAUAUUUUCAAAAUUCCUCCACUUUGAAUGCGUAUAAAAGGCUAAGGCUUCUUUAGAUUUUUUUGCUCAAUCUCACUCUCACACUGAGAUUAUUUUCUCUCUAAAAUUCUUCUUUUUUCCUCUCCAUAUUUUUCAACGUUUGGUGAUAAAAAAAGGCAUUGUUUGCUCAUUGAUCGCUGUAAAGGUGUUGCUGCUUCGACCAUUGUGUUGUUGUAUCUUGAGAGACAUUCGACUAACAUUUCUUCAAAUAUCGUAGGAGUGACCAAAUUUGUAUGUAAAAUAGGCCUCAACAUCUAGUAAAACUCGUUUCUUCUGUUUUAUUUUUGCUUUUUGUUAUGUUAUUUAUUGGUUUUUUCAUAUCUGAUAAUUUAAAUAUAAAUUAUUCAAUUUAUUUUAUUUUUAUAUAUAUUUGUUUAUUUAUAUUUAUAUAUUUUUGUUCGGUAACGUGUUUUGUCUAAUAGUAUAUUACUUAGGAUUUAAUGUCUUUAUAUUCUUAUAUUCUUGAACAUUGAAUAGAAAUUUAACAUUUUUAUUUAGAAAUAAUUGUUAAUAAUGUGAUUAUUGCAAAUAUUGAAUUUGACAUAUUAUAUUCUCAAUUAGGUGAUAAUAUUUUUUAAAAGAAAUUAUAUUUUAUUCUUAACCACCAACAGCGAAUUGCAAAUUCCUUUCAAUUCAAAGGAUAAAAAUGGUAUGCAUAGAAUAUCAAAUAAUUUUAAAUAUUUUAUAAAUUUAUGGUGAAGUUUUGACUAAAAAAACUAAUUAAAUUAUUUUUUUGUCUUAGUUAUUGAUUAGAAGAUUUAACUUGUAUGAAUUGUUAUUGAUUUAGUACUAAUAAUAUGCUUGAUUUUAUGAAAAUUUCAUGUAUUUAAGAUUUAGAUUUAUUUAGUUACUAUUUUAAUAAUUUUAUAAUAUUUUUAUGUUUACAUAUAUUAUAUAGUGAUUUAUCGAGUGUAAAAAUUAUAUAUUAAUUUAGAUAUUUUAAUUUUUUAAAAUUUGACCCACAACUAAAUUGAUAAAUAUAAUUAUUUGUAUAUGUAAUAAAUAAAUAUAAAACAAUGUUAUAUAAGUGAUUAAGUUAAUGGUAUAUGAACACCAAAACAAAAUAUGAAAAAAAAUUCAUAUAUACAAUUCUACCAAAUAAAAAAAUUUAAAUUAUAUUAGACAUUAAUUUAAAAUUUGUGUAUAAUUUUAUGAUUUAUCUCUAUUAUAUUAUAUUUUUUAAAUUUUGCAAUAGAUUUUGUUUCAAUAUCAUAUUGUUUAAAUAUGAGAUUAAAAACAUGUCAAAUUUUAAUUAUUUAUUUUUAAUUUUUAAAAAUAUUAUUAUUUCACCGAAAAUUAUGUUUAAAUAUUUGAAAGAAAAAACGGCAGGAUUGAUGAGACGACAAGAAUCUCUCUUACCUUAAUUAAUGGUCGAGAGUUCGAUCCUUACAUUAGAUAUAGAACAACUUUAAAAUUUGUGGCCGGCAUUUACCUUUAAUAGGAAAUAAAAAAAUCGAAAGAAAAAUUAAGAAGAUAAUGCUUAUCACAUUAUUUAUGUAAAAAUAAAAAUAAAAAAUUGAAAAGCAAAUACUAAUAUAUGGAAUAACAAUCUUUUUAAAUACUUUCUCAUCUUAUUAAAAAUUCCCAAUGAAUCAAAUAAUUUUACCAUAUUUAUAUUAUUGGUGCUUUUUUUAUUCAUUGUAAAAUAUAGAAUCCUAGAUUUUAACCAUUGCAAUGAACAAGAGCAAGGUUUUACUACUAUAUUUAUAAUGUUGCUUUUGUCUGUAUUUUUUUAUGGAAAUGGUCUGAUAUUUCCUACAAUUUAACUAUUGCAAUAAAUAAGAUUGAAGCCUUGAUGUACAUACAUAUAGUUAAGUAUAUGGUGAAAGUGUCUCACAAAUUAGUUCUUUCACUAUUAAAAAAAUAAUUACGAUCAGAUUUUAUUAGUUUAUCUAAUAGUAAUAGUAAAAUGAUUAAUUUAUUCCAAACCUUAUAAUAAAGUUUGUGUAACUAAAACACAAUCACACAUUGUGUGAUCCUAAUAAAGGAUUGCUUUUUUAGAGGAAAUACCACUUCUUUUGGUUUAGUGUUAAAUUCAUCUAUAUAUGAUGAUUUAUUAUUGUAUUUUUUUUUAUCGUAGGAGGAUAAUGAGUUUCAACGCAUUUAAACUCACGUCUUCUUACAUUGAUAAUAAUAACCAUAUCAAUUGAACUAAGAUUAAAUCGAUCAAAUUAUAGUAAUUUUAUAACACUAUGAAGGGCAUUAAAACGUUGAAUUACAAUAAUAAUAUCUAUUUAUCGGAGAUCCUUUUUCUUUCCGUAAUUACAAAUCUCUCUUACUUAAUAUAUUUUUAAUAGCAAUUUGAAUACCAAUUAUUAUUUUUUCCUAAUUUAAUUAAACAUAAUAUCAUAUAUAAUAAUAUUUGCAUAUCUAUUAUUGGUAUCUAAAAUUCUAUAGUCUAGGAUGAUACUAAUAAUUUAUUCCUAUUAUUAAAUAACGGAUGAAAUGUUAUUUUAUUUUAUUUUAGAGGGAUAUUAAAAAAUACAUAUAAACUCUUUUGAUCCAUUCACGCAAUUCAAUGGACUUCAAUCUCAUUUUAUAAUAUUACAAUUCUUUUACAAAAUAAAUUAAUUCGUUGGAUUUUUUUUAUAUAAAAUAAAUACUUACUCAACUUUACAUGAAUAAUUUACAGUAUAAAAUAUAAAAAUUAUAUUUUUAAAAUAUAGAUCAUGAAAAUAAUUAUAAAAUUAUGUUAAUUUUACACUGAUGUAAGUCCAUUUCCUUCGGUAAUGAUAAGAUCUUUGUUGAAGGGAUAUUCUUAAGUAAAUAGAUAAUUAAUGUUUUUUAAAUCAUAUUGGUGAUCAAAUCGAUCAAAUUAUUAGCUCACCAAUUCAAUUAAAAAUUUAUUAAAUUUUAAAAAAAAAAUUUUAAAAAAGUAAAAAAAAUUCAAAAAUCGUGAUUCAAACGAUUUUUUACUUAAUUCAACUAAUCCGUACUAAUUCCUAAAUCAAUUAAUUCAAAAUCUCAUUUCGAACCAAUACCUUCACCGAUUUAUAAUCCAACCAAUCCAAUUUGGUUGAAAUCACAUUGUAAACAACAUAAGUUGAUAAAAGAUGAAAAGGAAAAUUUUAUUUUUUAAAAAGAAAGUAAACUUCAAAAGAUAAUAGUUUUUUUUAGGAAAAGUUGGUGAUGGACACACGUGGUCGGCUAAAUUGAAAAAGCAGCUGAGAAAUUUAAAAUAGAAAAUGUAAAGAAAAGUUUCCCAUUGGCGUAUUAAAGAAUGAUUGCCGACAGAAGUUUGAAGAUCCAAGGCUGCCCCAAAACUUCUUCUGCUUUUCUCGGCACUGACAAAAUGAAAUCCAAUGGUUGUUAGGAGCACAGUAGUCCCAUCAUGGCCGUUGAAUGGCAAGAUAAAGGUUAGGCUACAUCAAGGGCCAGCUUUUAAAUGUUAAAUGCCACAUGAUCCCCUAAUAUUUAUUUAUACAAAAAUAAUAUAAAAAUAUAUUAUCAAAUGAAUUGACUCAUCAAUCAACCUUUAAUUAUUCUUGUUUUCAGUGGCAUCACCACAUUUCUUAUUUUCCUCAAAUUUAAUUUUUAUAUUUUUAUUUUUAAUAAAAAUUGUCUUUCUAUUUUUAAAAUUUUAAAUUUCAGAUUUAAUUGCUAAUGCUAUUAAAAUUAUUUUAUUAAAUUUAGGUUCAUUAUAAAUUUAUUUUUCUUAGAUUAUAGAAUUGUUAAGUGAGUAUUUUUUAUUUCAAAAUGUUACACCAAUAAAUUUAACAAAAAAAAACUUUAACAAUGUUAACAAUUAGAUAUUAAUUUCUAUUUAUAAAAAAUAUAGUGAAUAAAUUUCAAAAAUAGAAUAAUUAAAUUCCAAAUUUAUUAAAAGUAUAAAAACUUAUGACAUAUUUUAACCUAAUACCCAACAUACAAAACUCAUAACCAUAAAUAUACUUUUAUUUUUGUGCAUGUUCGGAAUUUAAAUUUAAGGGUAAUGUAUUUGUACUUAAUAAUUCUAUAGUAUUAUGAGUGCUUAGGAUUUCUUUGUAUCUCUUUGGUGGGAUUAAAAUAAGAGGUCAUCAAGUCGUUUAUCAAGUAAGCCUCAUUUCCCAACCGUCAACUGUAUACCCAUCUUCGUCAUUUUGGAUAUUUUGGAGACUGAGAUCUUGUUUCCUUCGACAAAUUUUCAUUAACAAAUUCCAAUGAUCGAAAGGACUAUUCUAUUGCCUCUUCAUCCACUCUUAUAUAUGACGCGUCACAAAUUACAGAUGCAAUGAUAUUCUCUUUAGCGUUUAUCGUUACCAAUUGACCAUUUGUUACCAACUUCAAUUUUUAGUGUAGUGACGACGGCACUGCUCCAGCCGAAUGAAUCCAAGGCCUACCCAACAAGCAAUUAUAAGAGGGUUUAAUAUCUAUCACAAAAAAAAGCUACCUCAUAUAUGUUCGGACCAAUUAAGAGAGGUAUUUCAAUUCUUCCCAUCACCCUCCUUUCUGUACCAUCGAAUGCUCUCACUAUAUUUUGACACGUCUUCAUAUGAGAGCUAUCUAUUGACAACCUAUUCAGUGUGGAUAGAGGCAAAAUGUUCAGUGCAGAUCCAUUGUCGAUUAACACCCUUGGCAAUGUAUAUCCUUUGUAGCGAGUAGUGAUGUAUAGAGCCUUCGUGGAUCCUAUGCCCCCUGGAGGUAUUUCAUCGUCAUUGAAAAAGAUGAAAUUUUCGACACAUAGAUUGUUAACCAGACGAUCUAGCUUGUUUACAAAGAUAUCAUCAACGACAUAAGUUUCAUUUAACACCUUCAUCAAUGCGCUACGAUGUGUCUUUGAGCUCAAAAGCAAGGCUAGUACUGAUAUGCGAGUUAGUUGCUUGUGUAGCUGCUCUACAACACUAUACUCACUAUGCUUCAAGAAUUUCAAAAAUUCAUUAGCCUCAUUCUCAGUUACUGGCUCAUUAACAGGUGAUUCAAGUCUAGCCGUCUUUUCUUUCUUAUGUUUAUCUGCCAAGGUUUUUCCUUUAAUUGGCUCGGUUCUUACACUUGCAGGGUCAUAGCGCCUCCCAUUGUGCGCCUCCCAUUUUGCUAUCAUUGUAGGGAAAAGCCACGGGUGUUCUAAUGAGAAAUAGCAUAAAUAAACCUUCCUAUUACAAUAUUCAUGAAAUGUAGCAGUCUAUAAGCGUAUAUGAGGAAUAAAAAUAGCGUACAAGUGUUCAUAUUUAUAUGAAAGGAAAGAGUAAAAUAUAUAGCGUCAAAAGCAUCAAUGCAGGUACAUGAAAGAAAUGUUAAAGAUGGGAGCAAAUUGGCAGAAACUCAGUCUGCUGAUUUCUACUCCAAAGAGAUGGGGAAGUUAAUGAUUAAUGGUUCCCUUUUUUAAGAGCACUGAUCAUUGUCUAAUUACUACAAGGUCUAAGAUAUGCUUGCUGCAAAGAAAAAAGUACUAGAAAUAGGUACCAAAUGCUUUUUCAAGGACAAACAAUCAUUUAUUUUAUAAGCCCUGACCUGUGUCAAUCAAGAAAUAUGUGACAUAUUUCAAAAUCAAGAAAAUGAAUUUACAGAAUUCUAUUACAUUGCUAUCCAAUUAGUAUUGCGUCCAACGCAUAUACAUAUGCGCACUCAAACAAUCACACAUAUACAUCUUCCUUUCCCACUUGCACAAAGGACUUUGCAACAUGGUUAGUGGAUUCAAACAUUUUCCUCCCAUAUAACUAUCCAGACCUCAUGGAUGUCCAUGUACAACAACCUAAUCAAAAGAAACAGAUCAAAGACAAAGACAUGGAUACAUCCUUAUUUCCUGACAACCUAAACAGUCUUGGAAAAAAUUCUUGCUAAGAGCGUCUCAAAUAAUUUUCUUUCUUUAGAAUCACCCAAAUAAUCCCCAUAUAUUUUCAAAAAAUCUGCUGUAUGACUGUUCAACAGUGAACCCAUCUCCAAACACACUUACUUUUAACUAGGAAUAAUCUUCACUACUGGAGUUACUGAAAAGGUACAUCUACAGAGCAUUUCUCCAGGCCCCAUUGAUGGGAUCCACAAAACAACGCCUAGAUCUUAUCUAAUACUCCCACUUCUGGAGGGACCCAUAUAUCCACACAAGUAAUGUGAACAUUCAUAACUCAGAUUAUCCAAAAGGAAGAAAAAAGAGAAAAAUCGAUUAUGUUUUCAAGGUUAAAAAAAAUAUAAAAUCGAUCCAUUACUGAUCUUUUAUGAUAAAAACAACUUGGUUAACCUUAUAAAAAAAAUGAGCUGAUUGGAUAAGUCAACUAAACUAAUCCAAAAAAGAGACCCAAAAAACAAAAAUAUAAAAAAGAGGUCAGCAAUGAUCCUGAUCUAGCAUAAGAAUUUAUACCUUGCCGAAGAAGUUUCCACCUCCAUCAUGAAGCCUAUCAACUUCAUAGGUCGUAGCAUGUAAAGUCCCAUGGAGCAAAGUUUCCUCCAUUUCUCAACUAAAAGAAAGAGAAAAGAAAGUUAAUUCAACUAAGACAGAGAGAUAUUAACAUAAGAUGAACUCCAAAAGAAGAGUGGGAAACAGAGAAGAUAAGUUCUUUUUUUUUAAAAAAAAAAAAAAAAGCUUGCGAAGCAGAGAAAUGAGCAAAGAAAAAAGGUAGAUUCAAAAAAAUAUACCCAAGGUUAAAUAAGAAGAGAUCUUGAUCUAAGGAUAUCAAGGCAGAAGUGAGAGUGAGUUGUCCUUGAUUUUCUCUUUAUGUAAGGGAUUUAUAUACGCAAAAUACGCGUAUCUAGUUUUGUAAUAAUGGAUAUAUAAAUUAUGGCUGCAACGUGGUGGCCGUGGGCGGACUAAAAGGAAAAUUACUGACGGGAAAGAGACCCGGAAAAUCAGCCCCUUAAAUAGUUCCGCGUGGAGCCGAGUGGAUCAGGGACUACGAAAGAUUUUUUUUUAUAGGGACUGAAUUACAUAAAAUCCCGAUUUUUUCAAUUCAAUUUCAACUUUUU
RNAcentral lists this long non-coding RNA (16524 nucleotides) under Gossypium barbadense (sea-island cotton). RNAcentral describes it as "long non-coding RNA (GBAR_LNC008847)". Lineage: Eukaryota; Viridiplantae; Streptophyta; Magnoliopsida; Malvales; Malvaceae. The record is from RNAcentral.